RNAcentral lists this ribosomal RNA (580 nucleotides) under Bacillus sp. (in: firmicutes). Its description in RNAcentral is "bacterial SSU rRNA". It matches the Rfam family "Bacterial small subunit ribosomal RNA", at positions 58 to 620 of the family's 1533-position model. Lineage: Bacteria; Bacillati; Bacillota; Bacilli; Caryophanales; Bacillaceae. The record is from RNAcentral.
ACAGUCAGAGCGGACAGAAGGGAGCUUGCUCCCGGAUGUUAGCGGCGGACGGGUGAGUAACACGUGGGUAACCUGCCUGUAAGACUGGGAUAACUCCGGGAAACCGGAGCUAAUACCGGAUAGUUCCUUGAACCGCAUGGUUCAAGGAUGAAAGACGGUUUCGGCUGUCACUUACAGAUGGACCCGCGGCGCAUUAGCUAGUUGGUGGGGUAAUGGCUCACCAAGGCGACGAUGCGUAGCCGACCUGAGAGGGUGAUCGGCCACACUGGGACUGAGACACGGCCCAGACUCCUACGGGAGGCAGCAGUAGGGAAUCUUCCGCAAUGGACGAAAGUCUGACGGAGCAACGCCGCGUGAGUGAUGAAGGUUUUCGGAUCGUAAAGCUCUGUUGUUAGGGAAGAACAAGUGCGAGAGUAACUGCUCGCACCUUGACGGUACCUAACCAGAAAGCCACGGCUAACUACGUGCCAGCAGCCGCGGUAAUACGUAGGUGGCAAGCGUUGUCCGGAAUUAUUGGGCGUAAAGGGCUCGCAGGCGGUUUCUUAAGUCUGAUGUGAAAGCCCCCGGCUCAACCGGGGAG